Molecule: transfer RNA, 73 nt
Filed under: compost metagenome
Description: tRNA-Cys
Rfam family: tRNA
About the family: Transfer RNA (tRNA) molecules are approximately 80 nucleotides in length. Their secondary structure includes four short double-helical elements and three loops (D, anti-codon, and T loops).
Source: RNAcentral
GGUGCCGUGACCGAGAGGUUUAGGUGCAGCUCUGCAAAAGCUGUUACAUCGGUUCGAGUCCGAUCGGCACCUC